This 293-nucleotide long non-coding RNA is filed under the name Zea mays. RNAcentral describes it as "long non-coding RNA (ZMAY_LNC001386)". The record is from RNAcentral. Lineage: Eukaryota; Viridiplantae; Streptophyta; Magnoliopsida; Poales; Poaceae.
CAAAUCAACGUCAGGUAUCCCUCUUGAAGCUUUACAUUUUCCAAUUGCUUCGCUGCCAUCAAAAUUAUCCACCAUGUAAUUGUUCGACUGUCCAGACUGAUGAGUGCUUCAGCUUCACCAUGACCUCAGUUCUUUAUAUGUUUGAAUUAAUAUUGAUUACAAUUAAGAAUGAAAUAGAUCUGCACCUAGAAUUUUCUACAGGUGGAAUGUGACAUUAUUUGAGAGGUUGAUUACAUUGAUUAUGGUAAAGCAUCAAUCAAUAUAUACAUUUGAGGGAGUAUAUUGUGAUGCUU